GUUUUUGCUGUGGAGCACAUACACUAAAGUUGGAACAGUAUAGAGAAGAUUACUGUGGCCCUUGGGUGAGGAUGACACACAAAUUCCUGAAGUGUUCCAUAUUUUU
Molecule: small nuclear RNA, 106 nt
Organism: Cavia porcellus (domestic guinea pig)
Lineage: Eukaryota; Metazoa; Chordata; Mammalia; Rodentia; Caviidae
Source: Ensembl